GAUGAAGAACGCAGCGAAAUGCGAUACUUGGUGUGAAUUGCAGAAUCCCGUGAACCAUCGAGUCUUUGAACGCAAGUUGCGCCCGAAGCCAUUAGGCCGAGGGCACGCCUGCCUGGGCGUCACACGUCGUUGCCCCCCCAUCUACUCCUUCGGGAUUGCGGGGGGCGGAUGAUGGCCUCCCGUGCGCCUCGCCGCGCGGUUGGCAUAAAUGCCAAGUCCUCGGCGACGCACGCCACGACAAUCGGUGGUUGCGAAACCUCGGUUGCCCGUCGUGUGCGGUCGUCGCGCAUCGAGGGCUCGAAAAAAUUGCCGGGUUCCGGCUUGGCUUUCAACGCGACCCCAGGUCAGGCGGGGUUACCCGCUGAAUUUAAGCAUAUCAAUAAGCGGAGGA
This 391-nucleotide unclassified non-coding RNA is filed under the name soil metagenome. Its description in RNAcentral is "partial contains 5.8S ribosomal RNA, internal transcribed spacer 2, and large subunit ribosomal RNA". The stretch from base 1 to 122 matches the Rfam family "5.8S ribosomal RNA", at positions 35 to 154 of the family's 154-position model. The record is from RNAcentral.